CAGCACGGAGAGCUUGCUCUCUGGUGGCGAGUGGCGAACGGGUGAGUAAUAUAUCGGAACGUGUCCAAUAAUGGGGGAUAACGAGUCGAAAGAUUCGCUAAUACCGCAUACGCCCUACGGGGGAAAGCAGGGGAUCGUAAGACCUUGCGUUAAUGGAGCGGCCGAUAUCUGAUUAGCUUGUUGGUGAGGUAAAGGCUCACCAAGGCGACGAUCAGUAGCUGGUUUGAGAGAACGACCAGCCACACUGGAACUGAGACACGGUCCAGACUCCUACGGGAGGCAGCAGUGGGGAAUUUUGGACAAUGGGGGCAACCCUGAUCCAGCCAUUCCGCGUGAGUGAAGAAGGCCUUCGGGUUGUAAAGCUCUUUCGCAAGGGAAGAAAACUUAUGAUCGAAUAAAUCAUGAGGUUGACGGUACCUUGAUAAGAAGCACCGGCUAACUACGUGCCAGCAGCCGCGGUAAUACGUAGGGUGCGAGCGUUAAUCGGAAUUACUGGGCGUAAAGCGUGCGCAGGCGGUUUUGUAAGUCGGAUGUGAAAUCCCCGGGCUCAACCUGGGAACUGCGUUC
Molecule: ribosomal RNA, 567 nt
Filed under: uncultured beta proteobacterium
Lineage: Bacteria; Pseudomonadati; Pseudomonadota; Betaproteobacteria
Description: bacterial SSU rRNA
Rfam family: Bacterial small subunit ribosomal RNA
Source: RNAcentral